UAGUGGCGAACGGGUGAGUAACACGUGGGCAAUCUGCCCUGCACUCUGGGACAAGCCCUGGAAACGGGGUCUAAUACCGGAUACGAGCCUCCUCCGCAUGGUGGAGGUUGGAAAGCUCCGGCGGUGCAGGAUGAGCCCGCGGCCUAUCAGCUUGUUGGUGAGGUAACGGCUCACCAAGGCGACGACGGGUAGCCGGCCUGAGAGGGCGACCGGCCACACUGGGACUGAGACACGGCCCAGACUCCUACGGGAGGCAGCAGUGGGGAAUAUUGCACAAUGGGCGAAAGCCUGAUGCAGCGACGCCGCGUGAGGGAUGAAGGCCUUCGGGUUGUAAACCUCUUUCAGCAGGGAAGAAGCGAAAGUGACGGUACCUGCAGAAGAAGCGCCGGCUAACUACGUGCCAGCAGCCGCGGUAAUACGUAGGGCGCAAGCGUUGUCCGGAAUUAUUGGGCGUAAAGAGCUCGUAGGCGGCUUGUCGCGUCGGUUGUGAAAGCCCGGGGCUUAACCCCGGGUCUGCAGUCGAUACGGGCAGGCUAGAGUUCGGUAGGGGAGAUCGGAAUUCCU
This 564-nucleotide ribosomal RNA is filed under the name Streptomyces sp. 384B08. RNAcentral describes it as "bacterial SSU rRNA". It matches the Rfam family "Bacterial small subunit ribosomal RNA", at positions 93 to 671 of the family's 1533-position model. RNAcentral also lists the same sequence under 17 other names. The record is from RNAcentral. Lineage: Bacteria; Bacillati; Actinomycetota; Actinomycetes; Kitasatosporales; Streptomycetaceae.